UGUCUCAGAGAUUAAGCCAUGCAUGUCUAAGUACGUACCUUAAAACGGUGAUACCACGAAUGGCUCAUUAAAUCAGCUAUGGUUCCUUAGAUCGUAAACGCUACAUGGAUAACUGUAGUAAUUCUAGAGCUAAUACAUGCAUUGAAUCCCUGACCCACAAGGGGGCGGGUGCAUUUAUUAGAACAGAACCAAUCGGGUGCGGUUUCGACUGUGCCUGUUACAUUAUGUGAUGACUCUGGAUAACUUUACUGAUCGCAGUUGGCCUUGUGUCGGCGACGGAUCUUUCAAAUGUCUACCCUAUCAAUUUAUUGGUAGGUGAUUGGCCUACCAUUAUGAUAACGAGUAACGGGGAGUCAGGGUUCGAUUCCAGAGAGGGAGCCUGAGAAAUGGCUACCACCUCCAAGGACGGCAGCAGGUGCGAAAAUUAUCCACUUCCGGCACGGGGAGGUAGUGAUGAAAAAUAAAUAUACGGGACUUAAUUGAGGCUCCGUAAUUCGAAUGAGUACAAUUUAAAUCCUUUAACGAGGACCGAUUGGAGGGCAAGUCGAUGAUACAAA
Molecule: non-coding RNA, 557 nt
Organism: Schistosoma mansoni
Lineage: Eukaryota; Metazoa; Platyhelminthes; Trematoda; Strigeidida; Schistosomatidae
Source: Rfam